GGAUGGGACCGGCGCGGCGGAAUCCUUCGAACCCCGUCAGGUCCGAGAGGAAGCAGCGGUAAGGAGGUUAUUCUGGGCGCCGCCGGGAAGCCUGUUCGGG
This 100-nucleotide signal recognition particle RNA is filed under the name Chloroflexota bacterium. Its description in RNAcentral is "Chloroflexi bacterium (anaerobic digester metagenome) signal recognition particle sRNA small type". It matches the Rfam family "Bacterial small signal recognition particle RNA". Rfam says of the family: The signal recognition particle (SRP) is a universally conserved ribonucleoprotein involved in the co-translational targeting of proteins to membranes. Archaeal SRP consists of a 7S RNA and homologues of the eukaryotic SRP19 and SRP54 proteins. The record is from RNAcentral. Lineage: Bacteria; Bacillati; Chloroflexota.